CCUACGGGAGGCUGCAGUGAGGAAUAUUGGUCAAUGGGCGCGAGCCUGAACCAGCCAAGUAGCGUGAAGGAUGACUGCCCUACGGGUUGUAAACUUCUUUUAUAAAGGAAUAAAGUGAGGCACGUGUGCCUUUUUGUAUGUACUUUAUGAAUAAGGAUCGGCUAACUCCGUGCCAGCAGCCGCGGUAAUACGGAGGAUCCGAGCGUUAUCCGGAUUUAUUGGGUUUAAAGGGAGCGUAGAUGGGUUGUUAAGUUAGUUGUGAAAGUUUGCGGCUCAACCGUAAAAUUGCAAUUGAUACUGGCAGUCUUGAGUGCAGUUGAGGUAGGCGGAAUUCGUGGUGUAGCGGUGAAAUGCUUAGAUAUCACGAAGAACACCGAUUGCGAAGGCAGCUUACUAAACUGCCACUGACGUUGAGGCUCGAAAGUGUGGGUAGCAAACAGGAUUAGAUACCCCAGUAGUC
Molecule: ribosomal RNA, 460 nt
Filed under: uncultured bacterium
Lineage: Bacteria
Description: partial 16S ribosomal RNA
Rfam family: Bacterial small subunit ribosomal RNA
Source: RNAcentral